AAUAUAGAUUGUUAGGUGAGGUUCCUAUAGAGACAAAUGCUACUGCCCAGAAAAAUCUAGAGAUUCCAAUGGGUUAGCAGUAAUCAUCGCCAAGGUGAUUUCUAAUGUAGCUGAUCAAUUAAGAUCUACGCUCUAUAGUGCUAAAGCUCUACAAAAUGAGAGUU
This is a regulatory RNA element of Clostridium celatum DSM 1785, 164 nucleotides long. It matches the Rfam family "M-box riboswitch aptamer (ykoK leader)". From Rfam's summary of the family: M-box riboswitch, also know as ykoK leader is described as a metaloregulatory RNA that sense divalent metals and function as a genetic control element of genes related to divalent metal transport in bacteria. It was first reported upstream of the B.subtilis ykoK gene and genes with related functions in other bacteria. The record is from Rfam. Lineage: Bacteria; Bacillati; Bacillota; Clostridia; Eubacteriales; Clostridiaceae.